This 460-nucleotide ribosomal RNA is filed under the name uncultured bacterium. RNAcentral's name for it is "partial 16S ribosomal RNA". It matches the Rfam family "Bacterial small subunit ribosomal RNA", at positions 338 to 795 of the family's 1533-position model. The record is from RNAcentral.
CCUACGGGUGGCAGCAGUGAGGAAUAUUGGUCAAUGGACGAGAGUCUGAACCAGCCAAGUAGCGUGAAGGAUGACUGCCCUAUGGGUUGUAAACUUCUUUUAUAAAGGAAUAAAACGAGGCACGGGUGCCUUUUUGCAUGUACUUUAUGAAUAAGGAUCGGCUAACUCCGUGCAAGCAGCCGCGGUAAUACGGAGGAUCCGAGCGUUAUCCGGAUUUAUUGGGGUUAAAGGGAGCGUAGAUGGGUUGUUAAGUCAGUUAUGAAAGUUUGCGGCUCAACCGUAAAAUUGCAAUUGAUACUGGCAGUCUUGAGUACAGUUGAGGUAGGCGGAAUUCGUGGUGUAGCGGUGAAAUGCUUAGAUAUCACGAAGAACCCCGAUUGCGAAGGCAGCUUACUAAACUGUGACUGACAUUGAUGCUCGAAAGUGUGGGUAUCAAACAGGAUUAGAUACCCUUGUAGUC